Molecule: ribosomal RNA, 519 nt
Filed under: uncultured bacterium
Lineage: Bacteria
Description: bacterial SSU rRNA
Rfam family: Bacterial small subunit ribosomal RNA
Source: RNAcentral
AGAGUUUGAUUAUGGCUCAGGAUGAACGCUAGCUACAGGCUUAACACAUGCAAGUCGAGGGGCAGCAUUGGAGUAGCAAUACUUCAGAUGGCGACCGGCGCACGGGUGAGUAACACGUAUCCAACCUGCCGCUUACUCGGGGAUAGCCUUUCGAAAGAAAGAUUAAUACCCGAUGGUAUAAAGAGUUCGCAUGUUCUCUUUAUUAAAGAAUUUCGGUAAGCGAUGGGGAUGCGUUCCAUUAGAUAGUUGGCGGGUAACGGCCCACCAAGUCUACGAUGGAUAGGGGUUCUGAGAGGAAGGUCCCCCACAUUGGAACUGAGACACGGUCCAAACUCCUACGGGAGGCAGCAGUGAGGAAUAUUGGUCAAUGGACGAGAGUCUGAACCAGCCAAAAGUAGCGUGAAGGAUGACUGCCCUAUGGGUUGUAAACUUCUUUUAUAAGGGAAUAAAGUGAGGGACGUGUCCCUUUUUGUAUGUACCUUAUGAAUAAGGAUCGGCUAACUCCGUGCCAGCCGCCGC